AAUGAACGUUGGCGGCGUGGAUUAGGCAUGCAAGCUCGUGCGAGAUGAGUUCUUUUGCUUGCAUUAGAACUCGGAAAGCGGCGAAAGGGUGAGUAACGCGUAGUUACCUGCCCCAGGGACCGGGAUAGCUUCGGGAAACUGAAGGUAAUACCGGAUAAUAUCUGCGGAUCAAAUGGUGUGAUUCCGCCCUGGGAGGGGACUGCGUCCUACUAGCUUGUUGGUGGGGUAACGGCCUACCAAGGCAACGAUGGGUACCGGGCGUGAGAGCGUGACCCGGCACACUGGGACUGAGACACUGCCCCAGACACCUACGGGUGGCUGCAGUCGAGAAUCUUCGGCAAUGGGCGAAAGCCUGACCGAGCGACGCCGCGUGC
Molecule: ribosomal RNA, 374 nt
Filed under: uncultured bacterium
Lineage: Bacteria
Description: bacterial SSU rRNA
Rfam family: Bacterial small subunit ribosomal RNA
Source: RNAcentral